AUUGAACGCUGGCGGAAUGCUUUACACAUGCAAGUCGAGCGGCAGCACGGGGGUAACCCUGGUGGCGAGCGGCGAACGGGUGAGUAAUACAUCGGAACAUGCCCAGUCGUGGGGGAUAACACUUCGAAAGAAGUGCUAAUACCGCAUACGUCCUGAGGGAGAAAGCGGGGGAUCGCAAGACCUCGCGCGAUUGAAGUGGCCGAUGUCAGAUUAGCUAGUUGGUGGGGUAAAGGCCUACCAAGGCAACGAUCUGUAGCUGGUCUGAGAGGAUGAUCAGCCACACUGGGACUGGGACACGGCCCAGACUCCUACGGGAGGCAGCAGUGGGGAAUUUUGGACAAUGGGGGCAACCCUGAUCCAGCCAUUCCGCGUGAGUGAAGAAGGCCUUCGGGUUGUAAAGCUCUUUCGGCAGGAACGAAACGGUGAGCUCUAACAUAGCUUGCUAAUGACGGUACCUGAAGAAGAAGCACCGGCUAACUACGU
This 483-nucleotide ribosomal RNA is filed under the name uncultured bacterium. RNAcentral describes it as "partial 16S ribosomal RNA". It matches the Rfam family "Bacterial small subunit ribosomal RNA", at positions 30 to 506 of the family's 1533-position model. The record is from RNAcentral.